This 26-nucleotide non-coding RNA is filed under the name Homo sapiens (human). Lineage: Eukaryota; Metazoa; Chordata; Mammalia; Primates; Hominidae. The record is from RNAcentral.
UGAGAAUUACUGGGUUAAAUUGUGGG